Molecule: transfer RNA, 67 nt
Filed under: Micromonospora globispora
Lineage: Bacteria; Bacillati; Actinomycetota; Actinomycetes; Micromonosporales; Micromonosporaceae
Also listed under: 1 other name
Description: tRNA-Phe
Source: RNAcentral
GGUCAGGAGAUCGGGUGACCACAGACUGAAAAUCGGAAGGUCGGCGGUUCGACCCCGCCCCUGGCCA